This 497-nucleotide ribosomal RNA is filed under the name uncultured bacterium. Its description in RNAcentral is "partial 16S ribosomal RNA". It matches the Rfam family "Bacterial small subunit ribosomal RNA", at positions 28 to 507 of the family's 1533-position model. The record is from RNAcentral.
GAUGAACGCUGGCGGCGUGCCUAAUACAUGCAAGUCGAGCGAACAGAUGAGGAGCUUGCUCCUCUGACGUUAGCGGCGGACGGGUGAGUAACACGUGGAUAACCUACCUAUAAGACUGGGAUAACUUCGGGAAACCGGAGCUAAUACCGGAUAAUAUAUUGAACCGCAUGGUUCGAUAGUGAAAGACGGCUUUGCUGUCACUUAUAGAUGGAUCCGCGCCGCAUUAGCUAGUUGGUAAGGUAACGGCUUACCAAGGCAACGAUACGUAGCCGACCUGAGAGGGUGAUCGGCCACACUGGAACUGAGACACGGUCCAGACUCCUACGGGAGGCAGCAGUAGGGAAUCUUCCGCAAUGGGCGAAAGCCUGACGGAGCAACGCCGCGUGAGUGAUGAAGGUCUUCGGAUCGUAAAACUCUGUUAUUAGGGAAGAACAAACGUGUAAGUAACUAUGCACGUCUUGACGGUACCUAAUCAGAAAGCCACGGCUAACUACGUG